RNAcentral lists this ribosomal RNA (440 nucleotides) under uncultured bacterium. Its description in RNAcentral is "partial 16S ribosomal RNA". It matches the Rfam family "Bacterial small subunit ribosomal RNA", at positions 338 to 795 of the family's 1533-position model. The record is from RNAcentral.
CCUACGAGAGGCAGCAGUGGGGGAUAUUGCCCAAUGGGGGAAACCCUGAUGCCGCGACGCCGCGUGUAGGAAGACGUUCCUCUGGAUUGUAAACUACUGUCCCCAGGGACGAAGAUGACGGUACCUGGGGAGUCAGCUCCGGCUAACUACGUGCCAGCAGCCGCGGUAAUACGUAGGGAGCGAGCGUUGUCCGGAAUUACUGGGUGUAAAGGGAGCGUAGGCGGGGAUGCAAGUUGGGUGUUAAAUCUACCGGCUCAACUGGUAGUCGCACUCAAAACUGCAGCUCUUGAGUGAAGUAGAGGCAGGCGGAAUUCCUAGUGUAGCGGUGAAAUGCGUAGAUAUUAGGAGGAACACCAGUGGCGAAGGCGGCCUGCUGGGCUUUUACUGACGCUGAGGCUCGAAAGUGUGGGGAGCAAACAGGAUUAGAUACCCCAGUAGUC